This 305-nucleotide ribosomal RNA is filed under the name uncultured Methylobacterium MY2. Its description in RNAcentral is "bacterial SSU rRNA". It matches the Rfam family "Bacterial small subunit ribosomal RNA", at positions 1 to 340 of the family's 1533-position model. The record is from RNAcentral. Lineage: Bacteria; Pseudomonadati; Pseudomonadota; Alphaproteobacteria; Hyphomicrobiales; Methylobacteriaceae.
UAGAGUUUGAUCCUGGCUCAGAGCGAACGCUGGCGGCAGGCUUAACACAUGCAAGUCGAGCGGGCCCUUCGGGGUCAGCGGCAGACGGGUGAGUAACACGUGGGAACGUACCCUUUGGUUCGGAAUAACGCUGGGAAACUAGCGCUAAUACCGGAUACGCCCUUUUGGGGAAAGGCUUGCUGCCGAAGGAUCGGCCCGCGUCUGAUUAGCUAGUUGGUGGGGUAAUGGCCUACCAAGGCGACGAUCAGUAGCUGGUCUGAGAGGAUGAUCAGCCACACUGGGACUGAGACACGGCCCAGACUCCU